RNAcentral lists this long non-coding RNA (889 nucleotides) under Anser brachyrhynchus (Pink-footed goose). RNAcentral describes it as "lncRNA (ENSABRG00000009133.1)". The record is from RNAcentral. Lineage: Eukaryota; Metazoa; Chordata; Aves; Anseriformes; Anatidae.
AGUGGCUCUGGGCAGGGUGAUGUACAGGCAGGAGGGAUCCUGCACAAGGAACGAGUGGAGAUAGAUAACUCUCCUCCUCCUCAGAAAUAAAUAAAGCCAAAGAGAGGGUGGUUUUACUCUUCCUAUAGUUCUGGGAACAUCCUGACCUCUGGGGCCUGACCCUAAUCACUCAGUGACUCCAAAUGGUCCAUGGGCUUGCAUGGCUGGGGACAGAAAUUGCACCCACUGACAUGUUCCCCUGUGGAGGCUUCCCACCAGUGGGGAGUUAACCAGUGACCGCCAGUGCUUCUGCAGGGGUAUGGUUACGCUCCAUUUCCAUCGUCUAUUUUUUAUUUUUCCACCUUAGGGAGAAAUAAGAAGCCCGAUUAUAGAUUUUUCCCUGAUUUCAUCCCCAGACUGACGUGGGUGGAAAGGCUGCAGAGAUUGCUAAGGACACAUCUGAGGUCUUUUUUUUGGGGGUCCUAGAAAUCCGGCGUGAGCUCCUCGAGCUGGGUCUGCUUUGUUUUAAAAGAGAACGUGAGCUGCUGGGGCUGGCGCGGUGGGAUGCUGACAACACCUGGCAGAAGGGCUGUGCUCAGAUCAGGACGACUGCAUGUGUUUAAUUUUGAGCUGGAGGAGGAGAACUAUGGUCAAGUCCUGACAUCACUGCCUAUUUCUCAGCUGAAUGAGAAGUCUCCAGUUCUGCCUUUGAUACCCUGACCAGGACAAACUCCAGAAACAUUUUAGUGCACGGAUGGAGGGCAGAGACCAAAGGAGACCAGCACAGCAGCGCCGAACCUGGUGGCAUGGAGACCGAUGUGGGGUAAGAGAGAUGAGCUCCAGCGCCAGGGAUCAUCCUGGGGCUGAUCCACAGCACUGAAAGCUGUGAGCACCAGCAGGAACUGGCUGA